This 304-nucleotide ribosomal RNA is filed under the name uncultured bacterium. RNAcentral's name for it is "partial 16S ribosomal RNA". It matches the Rfam family "Bacterial small subunit ribosomal RNA", at positions 506 to 807 of the family's 1533-position model. The record is from RNAcentral.
CAGCAGCAGCCACGGUAAUACGUAGGGUGCAAGCGUUAAUCGGAAUUACUGGGCGUAAAGCGUGCGCAGGCGGUUUUGUAAGACAGAGGUGAAAUCCCCGGGCUCAACCUGGGAACUGCCUUUGUGACUGCAAGGCUAGAGUACGGCAGAGGGGGAUGGAAUUCCGCGUGUAGCAGUGAAAUGCGUAGAUAUGCGGAGGAACACCGAUGGCGAAGGCAAUCCCCUGGGCCUGUACUGACGCUCAUGCACGAAAGCGUGGGGAGCAAACAGGAUUAGAUACCCCUGUAGUCCCUGUCUCUUAUAC